Molecule: long non-coding RNA, 575 nt
Organism: Suricata suricatta (meerkat)
Lineage: Eukaryota; Metazoa; Chordata; Mammalia; Carnivora; Herpestidae
Exons: 2
Source: RefSeq, a predicted model, not a curated record
CCGUUGGCGGAGGAAGCCAUUUUUCUCGGGAUGUCUCACCAGAGGUGCCAAUAUUAUAUUUUUCCGUCAAGACAGAGAGCUAACGCUUAUCAAUGCGCUCUUUACCUCUUAGUUUGGGGUCUCAUGAUUGAAACACAAUCAAGUCCACAGUGAGUCCUUCGUCCAUCAAACUGUCAGCACAGCCUCCACGAGAGCUGGGAACAUAGAGAAUGUUACGCCGAUGCCGGUUUGAAGCUGCCUACCUCCCUACAAAACCUACAUUUGGGCGAAGACCCCUAGGCCCUGGAAGGUGAGGGAUUUCUGGAUACUUCUUCUCUCUCACAAGCAUUGUUCUCCAUGUCCCCGCUCCUGUUUUGACCUCACCCAUAAUCCAAAGUCCAUGUACCUAAGGCUACCUCCUCGGACUGCCCUUCACUCAGAUUAGCCCCUGGUGAGAGAGAAACAGGUAGAACAGGAUCUGUAUUUUCCGUGACCGUCACUCCAUGAACUGGAGUGCCAAGAAGAUACCCCAUAAUACCCAUCAUAAAGGUCACGAUUUAUUAAUAUAACAUACAAAUAAAUAAUAUUUGUUCUAA